Long non-coding RNA from Pseudopipra pipra, 683 nucleotides. RefSeq lists it as uncharacterized. The record is from RefSeq and is a predicted model, not a curated record. NCBI's taxonomy places the organism in Eukaryota, Metazoa, Chordata, Aves, Passeriformes, Pipridae. The transcript has 4 exons.
CUGAGGAGCGCGCCAACGAAAAUCAGUUGGACAGAGUUGGCCUUCGGGAUAACUCAGCUCCUUCCUUUGCUACUUGUGUGCCUGCCUUUUUUGGAUGGUUUAUUGUUUACUGACCAUUUCUCCUCAACUUUCCUCCUCUUUCAAAGGUGACGGGAUUGGUGCUGUUCUCUUUCUGGAGAGAAAGACAUCCUUGGUCAUCUAAAGCAUUGCACUCUCUUCCUGAGAGAGGCAAUGGCCACAGCAGGGAACGACUCCUUCAUUGCCGAGGGAAUGACUCCGCCACAAAGGAUCCUCUUUCCCCCCGAGAAGAUUUGCAUGGUCUGGCAGCAAAGACAGAGUGCUGGAGCAGGACUCCGCAAUGUGGGCAACACAUGCUUCCUUAAUGCUGUCCUGCAAUGCCUGACAUACACCCCGCCGCUGGCCAACUAUCUGCUCUCCCGGGAGCACAGCCAGGCCUGUCGCCAACAAGGCUUCUGCAUGAUGUGCAUCAUGGAAGCGCAUGUUAACAAGGUCCUGCGUUCAGUCAGUGCCAUCCUGCCUUUGGCUGUUCUCAGGGGUUUCAGAUGUAUGUGAUUUCAGGUUCUUUGACAGGUUUUCUUCCCUUCCUGUAGGAGACAACUACUAACUUCCUGUUUCUUAGUCAUAGGAGAACAUUUUCAGCUUGGCAGGGAGGAAGAUGCCCA